Molecule: long non-coding RNA, 1958 nt
Organism: Clupea harengus (Atlantic herring)
Lineage: Eukaryota; Metazoa; Chordata; Actinopteri; Clupeiformes; Clupeidae
Source: Ensembl
UUCAGAGACUGGCACAUGGUGGGAGGUUUAGCAAUGACCCGUGUAGUAAGUUUACUCAGGGUGAGAUGAUAAGAAGACAUUACAUCAACUGUAAAGAUACACAUAAAUCAUGAUUUUACGACUAUGAAAACAGGUGAGACUAUGAAAGGCAAAUGGAUAUAUUUGUACAACAGUGAAAGUCAAACUUAUGGCUCUGAAGGGCAAGGAGUAAGAAAACCUUUGGGACCCAGUCAGUAAAACUCUCUUACAGUAACUGCUCAACCUUGCUCCAGAUCCUCUCAUCCGUCUGUCUCUGAUGAGCUAAACGAAGUAAGGCAAGUGCUUCUCUGAAGGAAUCAAGUAUGUUAAGUAUCUAAAGUUCAGGUUGAAACAGGCUGAACACACAGAAGAUCACCUGAUCUGGUGGCAUGAAGAAGUUACACAGAUGUCCUGCCCCCUGAGCAGGGAAUACUGCCCACAUGAACAAUUUCCAUGUAAGACUGCAUCAUGUGCAGUCAACCAUUUAACAAACCAUCUAUGUGUAAAUAUAUUAUCUUCAAUCAUUUCUGGUGAACUGGGUAUGAGGCAGUUAUCAGGGCUAUGCACCUGAAGGAAAACUUACAAUUGACACCAGUUAUCAAAGUGUCAAUUGUAAGCCGCUCAUUAUUACUCAUGCCCUCCCACCCAAAGCUGUAUAGUGCAUAAAAACCUAUUGGGUAUGGAGUGGUCUGACGGCUACAGUGAAUGGAGAAGUGGAAGUGAUCUUCAUUGUGAUGGUGGUGUGCCUCAGGGAACAGUUUUGGUACCUUUCCUAUUUCCCGUUGGUUGGUAUUUUUAAUUUUUUAUGUGAAACCAAAAACUCAAACAAUGAAGUGCAUGUAAGGUCACAACAGAAAUGAUCUUGCCUUCAGCACAAUGCCAAGAAGACACUGUGAGAGGAAAGAGGCCGACAGAUGCGUAAAAUGUGAAGAAUUCAGGGGAGGAGCUGAAAGUGAUCGUUCAUUCUAGACACCUGGAUGUUUUACUUACCUCCAUGCCAAGGGAACUGGAUGGAAAGAAAAGUAGUUAAUUUUGUCACAUUUCCUUAAAGAAUAUUAUGUCAGUUGUAUGAUCAUAACAAUGUGUUAAAGCUGUUUAAAAAGUCUUAAUCUCAUCAGAUACAAUGAGGGGACUAAUCAUUUGUUCUCCUGUGGUUCAACUGGUUGAGUAAGGUGCUAACCACACCAAGGCCAUGGGUUCCUUAACCAGGGAGAACACUGUUGAAAAUGUACAUCUCCACUGUAUUAUAACCAGGGAGAACACUGUUGAAAAUGUACAUCUCCACUGUAUUAUAACCAGGGAGAACACUGUUGAAAAUGUACAUCUCCACUGUAUUAUAACCAGGGAGAACACUGUUGAAAAUGUAUAUCUCCACUGUAUUAUAAGUCGCACUGAAUAAAAGCAAAGAAACGUAAAUGCAAUCACACUCACCAACUGCAGCAAUGGGUGGACCAGUUCGGCCCUGUUCACAGACCAGUUUAGCCCAGUUUAGCCUAACAGACCAGUUUAGCCUUGUUCACAGACCAGUUUAGCCCAGUUUAGCCUAACAGACCAGUUUAGCCCUGUUCACAGACCAAUUAUGUACAUGGUUUAAAUGGAUCAAGACAGAAUGUAAGAAGAGUGUAAUAUAUGUGUUAUUUUAUAUAUGCAGAUACACUGUGUAAACCUCCCACUGCCACAAAUGAGCUUUGAUGGUUCAACUGGCAUAUUUACAGAAAUCCAUGUGUAUUGUUUUUAACAUUCUUAACCCAACAAAGUCAAAUCAAAGGCCUCUGAUGCUGUCAUUGUUACUCUAUGGAUGAGAAAUGAAUGUGUCCUAUUCUUGUGAUAUUCAGAGAUUAGCAUUUAAAUCAAUAAUAACAAUAUGAUAUUAAAUGGUGGUGUUUCAGUUGUUUGUUCAGAAAUGUAAUCAAUUACUCGUUAUAGCCUUAUAUAAUAGC